GACGAACGCUGGCGGCGUGCCUAAUACAUGCAAGUAGAACGCUGAAGAGAGGAGCUUGCUCUUCUUGGAUGAGUUGCGAACGGGUGAGUAACGCGUAGGUAACCUGCCUGGUAGCGGGGGAUAACUAUUGGAAACGAUAGCUAAUACCGCAUAACAACAGUUGUUGCAUGACAGCUGUUUAAAAGAUGCAAUUGCAUCACUACCAGAUGGACCUGCGUUGUAUUAGCUAGUUGGUGAGGUAACGGCUCACCAAGGCGACGAUACAUAGCCGACCUGAGAGGGUGAUCGGCCACACUGGGACUGAGACACGGCCCAGACUCCUACGGGAGGCAGCAGUAGGGAAUCUUCGGCAAUGGGGGGAACCCUGACCGAGCAACGCCGCGUGAGUGAAGAAGGUUUUCGGAUCGUAAAGCUCUGUUGUAAGAGAAGAACGGGGGUGAGAGUGGAAAGUUCACACUGUGACGGUAUCUUACCAGAAAGGGACGGCUAACUACGUG
Molecule: ribosomal RNA, 497 nt
Filed under: uncultured bacterium
Lineage: Bacteria
Description: partial 16S ribosomal RNA
Rfam family: Bacterial small subunit ribosomal RNA
Source: RNAcentral